AGCCAAACAGCUAGCCCCCUCAACCAAAAAUAACAAAUCACCAUUAAUAUCCCCAAAUACACCCCCCCCCAACAAACAAACCAUUUUUCCCCCCUAGUAUGGGCGACAGAAAAGGGCCCGAGGAGCAAUAGAGAAAGUACCGCAAGGGAAAGCUGAAAGAGAAAUGAAAUAACCCAGAUAAAGCCUAGAAAAGCAGAGAUUAUAGCUCGUACCUUUUGCAUCAUGAUUUAGCCAGUAAAAUUCAAGCAAAGAGCACUUUAGUUUGAUUCCCCGAAACUAGGUGAGCUACUCCAAGACAGCCUAAUAUAGGGCGAACCCGUCUCUGUUGCAAAAGAGUGGGAAGAGCUUUGAGUAGAGGUGACAGACCUACCGAACCUAGUUAUAGCUGGUUGCCUGAGAAUUGGAUAGAAGUUCAGCCUCUCGGCUUCUCUCUUCACCCCCCCCCCAUAUCUUGGUCUUACCGAUAUUUAGAGAAACCGUGAGAGUUAGUCAAAGGGGGUGCAGCCCCUUUGAAACAAGACGCAACUUUCCCAGGAGGGUAAAGAUCAUAAUUAAUUAAGGUAAAAUGUUCUGGUGGGCCUAAAAGCAGCCACCCCUAUAGAAAGCGUUAAAGCUCAGACAUAUCACUUACCCUUUCAUCCUGAUAAUUUAAUCUUAACCCCCUAAUCCUACCAGGCCGUCCCCUGCAAACAGGGGAGCGACCAUGCUAAUAUGAGUAAUAAGAGAACAUCCGCUUCUCUCCUUGCACACGUGUAAAUCGGAAUGGACUUCCCACCGAAUAUUAACGGCCCCAAACAAAGAGGGCACUGAACAACAAACCAGAUAACCAGAAAAACAUCCAAUAAUUAACCGUUAACCCCACACUGGUGUGCUUUUAAGGAAAGACUAAAAGAAAAAGAAGGAACUCGGCAAACACAUAAAGCCUCGCCUGUUUACCAAAAACAUCGCCUCUUGCAAAACUAAAGAAUAAGAGGUCCCGCCUGCCCUGUGACUAUAAGUUUAACGGCCGCGGUAUUUUGACCGUGCGAAGGUAGCGCAAUCACUUGUCUUUUAAAUGAAGACCUGUAUGAAUGGCACCACGAGGGCUUAGCUGUCUCCUUUUUCAAGUCAAUGAAAUUGAUCUCCCCGUGCAGAAGCGGGGAUAUACACAUAAGACGAGAAGACCCUAUGGAGCUUUAGACACCAAGACAGAUCAUGUUAAACACCCUUGAACAAAAGGACCAAACCAAAUGAAACCUGUCCGCAUGUCUUUGGUUGGGGCGACCGCGGGGAAACAUAGAACCCCCACGUGGAAUGGGAGCACCCCUCCUACAGCUAAGAGCUCCCGCUCUAGCAAACAGAAAUUCUGACCAGCAGGAUCCGGCAAUGCCGAUCAACGGACCGAGUUACCCUAGGGAUAACAGCGCAAUCCCCUUUUAGAGCCCAUAUCGACAAGGGGGUUUACGACCUCGAUGUUGGAUCAGGACAUCCUAAUGGUGCAGCCGCUAUUAAGGGUUCGUUUGUUCAACGAUUAAAGUCCUACGUGAUCUGAGUUCAGACCGGAGAAAUCCAGGUCAGUUUCUAUCUAUGCUAUGAUCUUUUCUAGUACGAAAGGACCGAAAAGAAGAGGCCCAUGCUUAAGGUAUGCCUCACCCCCACCUAAUGAAGACAACUAAAAUAGGCAAAAGGGCAUGCCCCUAUGCCUGAGAAAAUGGCAU
This 1697-nucleotide ribosomal RNA is filed under the name Epigonus denticulatus (pencil cardinal). RNAcentral describes it as "16S ribosomal RNA". The stretch from base 97 to 1618 matches the Rfam family "Bacterial large subunit ribosomal RNA". The record is from RNAcentral. Lineage: Eukaryota; Metazoa; Chordata; Actinopteri; Acropomatiformes; Epigonidae.